RNAcentral lists this ribosomal RNA (700 nucleotides) under uncultured beta proteobacterium. RNAcentral's name for it is "bacterial SSU rRNA". It matches the Rfam family "Bacterial small subunit ribosomal RNA", at positions 81 to 777 of the family's 1533-position model. Lineage: Bacteria; Pseudomonadati; Pseudomonadota; Betaproteobacteria. The record is from RNAcentral.
CGGUCUGGCGGCGAGUGGCGAACGGGUGAGUAAUGUAUCGGAACGUGCUUAGUAGCGGGGGAUAACUACUCGAAAGAGUAGCUAAUACCGCAUACGCCCUACGGGGGAAAGGGGGGGAUCGCAAGACCUCUCACUAUUAGAGCGGCCGAUAUCGGAUUAGCUAGUUGGUGAGGUAAAGGCUCACCAAGGCGACGAUCCGUAGCUGGUUUGAGAGGACGACCAGCCACACUGGGACUGAGACACGGCCCAGACUCCUACGGGAGGCAGCAGUGGGGAAUUUUGGACAAUGGGGGAAACCCUGAUCCAGCCAUUCCGCGUGUGCGAUGAAGGCCUUCGGGUUGUAAAGCACUUUUGGCAGGAAAGAAAUCGCACCAAUUAAUACUUGGUGUGGAUGACGGUACCUGCAGAAUAAGCACCGGCUAACUACGUGCCAGCAGCCGCGGUAAUACGUAGGGUGCAAGCGUUAAUCGGAAUUACUGGGCGUAAAGCGUGCGCAGGCGGUUCGGAAAGAGAGGUGUGAAAUCCCAGGGCUCAACCUUGGAACUGCACUUUUAACUACCGAGCUAGAGUAUGUCAGAGGGGGGUGGAAUUCCGCGUGUAGCAGUGAAAUGCGUAGAUAUGCGGAGGAACACCGAUGGCGAAGGCAGCCCCCUGGGAUAAUACUGACGCUCAUGCACGAAAGCGUGGGGAGCAAACAGGA